RNAcentral lists this transfer RNA (76 nucleotides) under Enterovibrio coralii. RNAcentral's name for it is "tRNA-Arg". It matches the Rfam family "tRNA". From Rfam's summary of the family: Transfer RNA (tRNA) molecules are approximately 80 nucleotides in length. Their secondary structure includes four short double-helical elements and three loops (D, anti-codon, and T loops). Lineage: Bacteria; Pseudomonadati; Pseudomonadota; Gammaproteobacteria; Vibrionales; Vibrionaceae. RNAcentral also lists the same sequence under 1 other name. The record is from RNAcentral.
GCUCCUAUAGCUCAACAGGAUAGAGCAGUCGCCUCCUAAGCGACCGAUCGGGGUUCGAGUCCCUGUGGGAGCGCCA